UCAACGCCAAGACUACCUACACUAAAGAA
This 29-nucleotide small RNA is filed under the name Bombyx mori (domestic silkworm). RNAcentral describes it as "ovarian small RNA-6761". Lineage: Eukaryota; Metazoa; Arthropoda; Insecta; Lepidoptera; Bombycidae. The record is from RNAcentral.